Molecule: unclassified non-coding RNA, 276 nt
Filed under: plant metagenome
Description: partial contains small subunit ribosomal RNA and internal transcribed spacer 1
Rfam family: Eukaryotic small subunit ribosomal RNA (bases 1-48)
Source: RNAcentral
AAUGUCGUAACAAGGUUUUCCGUAGGUGAACCUGCGGAAGGAUCAUUACAAAUAAAGCUGGUAGGAAGUGGGGUCUUGAUCUGUAAGUGGUAGAGCGAACAGUCCGGCUGCCCUCCCCGAAAACUGUCUUACAUGUCCCCCCACAGCCUGAAGACCGAAUUUACAACCCCUUGAUUAUCUACACUUGUUGCUUUUGGGGGUGCUCAAGGUGCCCCCAGAGGGACCCCGACUCUCUUGUAUUUGAGUGACGUCUGAGUUACUAUAUAACAUUUAAAA